RNAcentral lists this ribosomal RNA (253 nucleotides) under uncultured bacterium. Its description in RNAcentral is "partial 16S ribosomal RNA". It matches the Rfam family "Bacterial small subunit ribosomal RNA", at positions 524 to 776 of the family's 1533-position model. The record is from RNAcentral.
UACGGAGGGGGCUAGCGUUGUUCGGAAUUACUGGGCGUAAAGCGCACGUAGGCGGCUUGGAAAGUUGGAGGUGAAAGCCCAGAGCUCAACUCUGGAAUUGCCUUCAAAACUCCCAAGCUAGAGUUCGGAAGAGGAGAGUGGAAUUCCCAGUGUAGAGGUGAAAUUCGUAGAUAUUGGGAAGAACACCAGUGGCGAAGGCGGCUCUCUGGUCCGAUACUGACGCUGAGGUGCGAAAGCGUGGGGAGCAAACAGG